This 465-nucleotide ribosomal RNA is filed under the name Scolelepis sp. A ZW-2021. RNAcentral describes it as "partial large subunit ribosomal RNA". It matches the Rfam family "Bacterial large subunit ribosomal RNA", at positions 1808 to 2541 of the family's 2925-position model. Lineage: Eukaryota; Metazoa; Annelida; Polychaeta; Spionida; Spionidae. The record is from RNAcentral.
CAAAAACAUCGCCUUUAGUAAAAAUAUUAAAGGUCCAUUCUGCCCUAUGAAAUUAUUUUAAAUGGCCGCGGUACCCUGACCGUGCUAAGGUAGCAUAAUAAUUUGCCUCUUAAUUAGAGGCUAGAAUGAAAGAACAUACGAGAGUAAAACUGUUUCACUUUUAUUUUAUGAAAACUAAUUUUUAGAUGAAGAAGUCUAAAUAUAAAAAAAAGACAAAAAGACCCUAUUGAGCUUCACCUUCUCUCAAAUUUUUAGAAUAUAAAUUUUACCUAAUAAAAAAAUUGUAAUAGGUUUUGUUGGGGCGACAAAAGAAGAUUUAAAUCUUCUUUAUAAACUUAGGUUAUAAACCUUCUAUUGAUCCGAAUUAAAUCGAUUAAAAGAUUCAGCUACCCUAGGGAUAACAGGCUAAUUUUCUCUGAGAGCCCAUAUUGACGAGAAAGAUUGGCACCUCGAUGUUGGCUUAGG